UUGGAGGGCAGUCUGGUGCCAGCAGCCGCGGUAAUUCCAGCUCCAAUAGCGUAUAUUAAAGUUGUUGCAGUUAAAAAGCUCGUAGUUGAAUUUCGGGAUCAGAUUGUCGGUCGUGCCUCGGUACGCACUGGCAUUAUUGGUUCCUACCUUCUGAAGAACCGCGAUGUCAUUAAUUUGGUGUCGUGGGGAAUCAGGACUGUUACUUUGAAAAAAUUAGAGUGUUUAAAGCAGGCUUACGCUUGAAUACAUUAGCAUGGAAUAAUGAAAUAGGACGUUUGAUUCUAUUUUGUUGGUUCCUAGGAUUGACGUAAUGAUUAAUAGGGAUAGUUGGGGGCAUUAGUAUUCAAUUGUCAGAGGUGAAAUUCUUGGAUUUAUUGAAGACUAACUACUGCGAAAGCAUUUGCCAAGGAUGUUUUCAUUAAUCAAGAACGAAAGUUAGGGGAUCGAAGACGAUCAGAUACCGUCGUAGUCUUAACCAUAAACUACGCCGACUAGGGAUCGGAUGAUGUUAAUUUUUUAAUGACUCAUUCGGCGCCUUACGGGAAAC
Molecule: ribosomal RNA, 547 nt
Filed under: uncultured Glomeromycotina
Lineage: Eukaryota; Fungi; Glomeromycota
Description: SSU rRNA
Rfam family: Eukaryotic small subunit ribosomal RNA
Source: RNAcentral